Triticum urartu is the source of this 572-nucleotide non-coding RNA. Lineage: Eukaryota; Viridiplantae; Streptophyta; Magnoliopsida; Poales; Poaceae. The record is from RefSeq and is a predicted model, not a curated record.
UCUCUCGCGCUCGUGGGGGGUCAGCGCGUCCCCUCACCUCUUUCCCCUUCUUUCCUUCUCGUUCCCCGCUGGAGCUCUCACCUCACCGUUCGUUGCCGUCCUCAAAUCUGCGACGGAGAUGGUCGAAUCCCCGUCGAUGUCCUCGCUGACUAUCGCUCUCCGUCGCCAACUCUUCCUUCCCAGCGGUCGUUGCUCUGCCAGAUCCACACCCCCAUCCACGGCAGCGGAAUGGGUGCCAGCCGGAGGCCGCCGCCAACGCCACCUUCCAGGCGCCCCUUGCUCUCUCAGAUCUACACCCCAUCCAUCGGAGCGGGGUGGAUGGUAGCCGGAGGCCCAGGAGGUGCCAGGUCGUCUGUGCAUCGUCCCAUCUAAACAGCAGCAGGAGCGCCCAAUGUCUCCCGUGUUCGUGCAAAAUUUUCUCACGGGGUCUUGUGAUUCGCUCAUGGAUGAUUGAGACCGGAACAGCAGGUUAAUGCAUGGAAUUAAGCUCUAAUUCAACCUGAUUUUGGUUCAGAUUUGUUUUACUUGUUUGAGAAAUCUAUGAUAAAUAAAAUUGAAAUUGAUUUUUAUUU